Molecule: ribosomal RNA, 465 nt
Filed under: Vreelandella stevensii
Lineage: Bacteria; Pseudomonadati; Pseudomonadota; Gammaproteobacteria; Oceanospirillales; Halomonadaceae
Description: partial 16S ribosomal RNA
Rfam family: Bacterial small subunit ribosomal RNA
Source: RNAcentral
CCUACGGGUGGCAGCAGUGGGGAAUAUUGGACAAUGGGCGAAAGCCUGAUCCAGCCAUGCCGCGUGUGUGAAGAAGGCCUUCGGGUUGUAAAGCACUUUCAGUGGGGAAGAAAGCCUUGGGGCUAAUACCCUCGAGGAAGGACAUCACCCACAGAAGAAGCACCGGCUAACUCCGUGCCAGCAGCCGCGGUAAUACGGAGGGUGCGAGCGUUAAUCGGAAUUACUGGGCGUAAAGCGCGCGUAGGCGGUCUGAUAAGCCGGUUGUGAAAGCCCCGGGCUCAACCUGGGAACGGCAUCCGGAACUGUCAGGCUAGAGUGCAGGAGAGGAAGGUAGAAUUCCCGGUGUAGCGGUGAAAUGCGUAGAGAUCGGGAGGAAUACCAGUGGCGAAGGCGGCCUUCUGGACUGACACUGACGCUGAGGUGUGAAAGCGUGGGUAGCAAACAGGAUUAGAUACCCUAGUAGUC